UGCCAGCCGCCGCGGUAAUACGGAGGGUGCAAGCGUUGUUCGGAAUCAUUGGGCGUAAAGCGGGUGUAGGCGGUGAGGUAAGUCGGAUGUGAAAGCCCGGGGCCCAACCCCGGAAUUGCAUUCGAAACUGCCCCACUAGAGUCUCGUAGAGGAAGGCAGAAUUCCCGGUGUAGAGGUGAAAUUCGUAGAGAUCGGGAGGAAUACCAGUGGCGAAGGCGGCCUUCUGGGCGAUGACUGACGCUGAGAUCCGAAAGCGUGGGGAGCAAACAGGAUUAGAUA
Molecule: ribosomal RNA, 279 nt
Filed under: uncultured bacterium
Lineage: Bacteria
Description: partial 16S ribosomal RNA
Rfam family: Bacterial small subunit ribosomal RNA
Source: RNAcentral